UGGGGAAUAUUGCACAAUGGGCGCAAGCCUGAUGCAGCCAUGCCGCGUGUAUGAAGAAGGCCUUCGGGUUGUAAAGUACUUUCAGCGGGGAGGAAGGGAGUAAAGUUAAUACCUUUACUCAUUGACGUUACCCGCAGAAGAAGCACCGGCUAACUCCGUGCCAGCAGCCGCGGUAAUACGGAGGGUGCAAGCGUUAAUCGGAAUUACUGGGCGUAAAGCGCACGCAGGCGGUCUGUCAAGUCGGAUGUGAAAUCCCCGGGCUUAACCUGGGAACUGCAUUGGAAACUGGCAGGCUAGAGUCUUGUAGAGGGAGGUGGAAUUCCAGGUGUAGCGGUGAAAUGCGUAGAGAUCUGGAGGAAUACCGGUGGCGAAGGCGGCCCCCUGGACAAAGACUGACGCUCAGGUGCGAAAGCGUGGGGAGCAAACGGG
RNAcentral lists this ribosomal RNA (429 nucleotides) under Chloroflexota bacterium. RNAcentral's name for it is "Chloroflexi bacterium partial 16S ribosomal RNA". It matches the Rfam family "Bacterial small subunit ribosomal RNA", at positions 355 to 776 of the family's 1533-position model. The record is from RNAcentral. Lineage: Bacteria; Bacillati; Chloroflexota.